ACUGAAAAUCUUCGGAAUUGUAGUCUGGAGAAGUCAAGUCAGCAGAGAUCGCUGGGCCAAGUCUCCUGGAAUGGAGCGCCAUGGAGGGUGACAGCCCCGUUCAUGCCUAGUGUGUUCUGUGUACGACUGACUUUCAACGAGUCGAGUUGCUUGGGAUUGCAGCUCUAAGCGGGUGGUAAAUUCCAUCUAAAGCUAAAUAUUGGUGGGAGACCGAUAGCGAACAAGUACCGUGAGGGAAAGAUGAAAAGAACUUUGAAAAGAGAGUUAAAAGUACCUGAAAUUGCUGAAAAGGAACCGAUGGGAAGCAGUGUUGGCAAGCAGUUAUUUUGCAUUUUCCGCAUGCGGGAGGUGUGCGUGAUUGUUUGCAAGUUCGGCUUUCUUCGACGAGGGGAAGAGGUCCUGCAUCCGUGAGGAUUGGGGCAACCGUCCUUUGUGGGAGAGACUUGAACGAAAUGCUUCUUAUCAUCCCGUCUUGAAACACGGACCAAGGAGUCUAACAUGUGUGCGAGUGCUCGGGGUUGAAUCCCCCAGCGCGGAAUGAAAGUAAAAUGUGGUAGGAAGCUUCGGCUGCACUAUCGACCGACCAUGAUCCUUCGGGUGAAAGGUUUGAGUGUGAGCAUACAUGUUGGGACCCGAAAGAUGGUGAACUAUGCCUGAGUAGGGCGAAGCCAGGGGAAACUCUGGUGAAGGUCCGCAGCGAUUCU
RNAcentral lists this ribosomal RNA (704 nucleotides) under Paraphysomonas sp. RNAcentral's name for it is "eukaryotic LSU rRNA". It matches the Rfam family "Eukaryotic large subunit ribosomal RNA", at positions 113 to 887 of the family's 3401-position model. Lineage: Eukaryota; Chrysophyceae; Chromulinales; Paraphysomonadaceae. The record is from RNAcentral.